This 857-nucleotide long non-coding RNA is filed under the name Brachypodium distachyon (stiff brome). RNAcentral's name for it is "long non-coding RNA (BDIS_LNC002369)". Lineage: Eukaryota; Viridiplantae; Streptophyta; Magnoliopsida; Poales; Poaceae. The record is from RNAcentral.
GCGGUGCGAAGUAAAGUAAAGCCAUCACCAUCUCAGAAAAGCGGUCAACGCCUGCGUACCGGUGUCAGGUGACCACGCUAGAGAAGCACUGAAAGAGAAUCUCUGACGGAAGCCAGCAGAGGAUAGCUGUACCCGUUGCAGACUGGCAGGGAAAAGUAAAGUUGUCUUGUCCCCUACGAUACUGCCUGGAGGGAACCAAGCCUCGUGCCCGAUGAGGCCCAAGGAAGAUGACGUUAGACUCGGUUCACAUGUCAGUGUGACAUGGACGGCCUAUAAAUAAAACAUUACCCCUAUGUAGAUAGGGGAGAGAGAGCAUUUUGGAGAGAGAGCACUUUGGGAAGAGAGCACUUAGUCAUCCAGAGUUUUCCCUUCUUCUUCUUCCUCAAGAACGGCUAAUACAACAAAACAGAAGUAGGAGUCUUACCUCAACAAGAGGGUUCCGAACCUGGGUAAAUCUGUGUGUGCUUGUGUGUUUUGUGCGUGUUUCCUUCACGUCCUCCCUCGUCCAGAUCCUCAUACGUCCAUCAACCCCAAGUUAAGCCAUCCUAUGGCAUCUGCCUUGACACCACCACAACAAGAAGGAUACUGGCGCGUUUCACAUCGGACUGACAAUGGCUAGUUUGGAGGUCGGGAUGGGGAGCCAGCAGAGUGGCCGACGCAGCCGCCAUUGCCGGAGGGGAUGGAGAAUGGUUGGAAGUUUUUUUUUUUUUUGGAAGUAGGCGAGUAGCCAUCGAGCGACAAGCAGAUCCCCUUCUUAUCGGGCCUACGGGCCAAGCGCUAACCCUAUCGGGCCUGGCAGCAGACAAGUCACCUGGGCCGGCCCGCUUACCACCCUAACAACGGCGACAACAACUCAG